Regulatory RNA element from Pseudoxanthomonas spadix BD-a59, 143 nucleotides. It matches the Rfam family "radC RNA". The record is from Rfam. Lineage: Bacteria; Pseudomonadati; Pseudomonadota; Gammaproteobacteria; Lysobacterales; Lysobacteraceae.
AUCCUGUGCCCAUGCGUCGCUGACUCCUGUCAGCACCAUGCCAGCAGCCUCGGUCUUCCAGGCUGCGAUGCGGUUCCCCCGCAUGACCGAACCAGUCCGCUCCGCAUCGUAUUGCGGACGAGCGUCCAUCCCGACGCCGAUGC